This is a small nucleolar RNA of Harmonia axyridis, 75 nucleotides long. The record is from RefSeq and is a predicted model, not a curated record. Lineage: Eukaryota; Metazoa; Arthropoda; Insecta; Coleoptera; Coccinellidae.
GUUAAAUGAUGAGAUUUUCACUUUGUCCAUAAUACUCCUUGAUGGUACAUAACGAGCUUUUUAACCCUGAUGAUU